GAGUUUGAUCCUGGCUCAGGAUGAACGCUAGCUACAGGCUUAACACAUGCAAGUCGAGGGGAAACGAUAUUGGAAGCUUGCUUCCGAUAGGCGUCGACCGGCGCACGGGUGAGUAACGCGUAUCCAACCUGCCCAUCACUUGGGGAUAACCUUGCGAAAGUAAGACUAAUACCCAAUGAUAUCUCUAGAAGACAUCUGAAGGAGAUUAAAGAUUUAUCGGUGAUGGAUGGGGAUGCGUCUGAUUAGCUUGUUGGCGGGGUAACGGCCCACCAAGGCGACGAUCAGUAGGGGUUCUGAGAGGAAGGUCCCCCACAUUGGAACUGAGACACGGUCCAAACUCCUACGGGAGGCAGCAGUGAGGAAUAUUGGUCAAUGGGCGAGAGCCUGAACCAGCCAAGUAGCGUGCAGGAUGACGGCCCUAUGGGUUGUAAACUGCUUUUAUAAGGGAAUAAAGUGAGUCUCGUGAGACUUUUUGCAUGUACCUUAUGAAUAAGGACCGGCUAAUUCCGUGCCAGCAGCCGCGGUAAUACGGAAGGUCCGGGCGUUAUCCGGAUUUAUUGGGUUUAAAGGGAGCGUAGGCCGGAGAUUAAGCGUGUUGUGAAAUGUAGGUGCUCAACAUCUGCACUGCAGCGCGAACUGGUUUCCUUGAGUACGCACAAAGUGGGCGGAAUUCGUGGUGUAGCGGUGAAAUGCUUAGAUAUCACGAAGAACUCCGAUUGCGAAGGCAGCUCACUGGAGCGCAACUGACGCUGAAGCUCGAAAGUGCGGGUAUCGAACAGGAUUAGAUACCCUGGUAGUCCGCACGGUAAACGAUGGAUGCCCGCUGUUGGUCUGAAUAGGUCAGCGGCCAAGCGAAAGCAUUAAGCAUCCCACCUGGGGAGUACGCCGGCAACGGUGAAACUCAAAGGAAUUGACGGAAGGGCGAAUUCCAG
RNAcentral lists this ribosomal RNA (932 nucleotides) under uncultured bacterium. Its description in RNAcentral is "bacterial SSU rRNA". It matches the Rfam family "Bacterial small subunit ribosomal RNA", at positions 9 to 931 of the family's 1533-position model. The record is from RNAcentral.